This 200-nucleotide unclassified non-coding RNA is filed under the name soil metagenome. Its description in RNAcentral is "partial contains internal transcribed spacer 2 and large subunit ribosomal RNA". The record is from RNAcentral.
GCGUCGCCUGUUGUCGCCCCUCCUCGGGGGGCUCCAGGCGGGACCGCGUGCCCGAAAUGCAGCGGCGGUGCGGCCGGAUCUCCCUAGCGCAGUGACUUUUUACAACGCUACAAGGGGUUCGCGACCCGUCCCAGCCGGACAACAACAAAAUUUUAUCCACGAUUGACCUCGGAUCAGGUAGGGAUACCCGCUGAACUUAA